Molecule: ribosomal RNA, 451 nt
Filed under: uncultured bacterium
Lineage: Bacteria
Description: bacterial SSU rRNA
Rfam family: Bacterial small subunit ribosomal RNA
Source: RNAcentral
AACGAACGCUGGCGGCAGGCCUAACACAUGCAAGUCGAGCGAUCCCAGCAAUGGGGGAGCGGCAGACGGGUGAGUAACACGUGGGAACGUACCCUUCGGUUCGGAAUAACUCAGGGAAACUUGAGCUAAUACCGGAUACGUCCGAGAGGAGAAAGAUUUAUCGCCGAAGGAUCGGCCCGCGUCUGAUUAGCUAGUUGGUGAGGUAAUGGCUCACCAAGGCGACGAUCAGUAGCUGGCUGAGAGGAUGAUCAGCCACAUUGGGACUGAGACACGGCCCAAACUCCUACGGGAGGCAGCAGUGGGGAAUAUUGGACAAUGGGCGCAAGCCUGAUCCAGCCAUGCCGCGUGAGUGAUGAAGGCCUUAGGGUUGUAAAGCUCUUUUACCUGGGAAGAUAAUGACGGUACCAGGAGAAUAAGCCCCGGCUAACUUCGUGCCAGCAGCCGCGGUAAG